RNAcentral lists this ribosomal RNA (255 nucleotides) under uncultured bacterium. Its description in RNAcentral is "partial 16S ribosomal RNA". It matches the Rfam family "Bacterial small subunit ribosomal RNA", at positions 524 to 777 of the family's 1533-position model. The record is from RNAcentral.
UACAGAGGUCCCGAGCGUUGUUCGGAUUCAUUGGGCGUAAAGGGUGCGUAGGCGGCGGGCAAGUCUGAUGUGAAAUCCCGGGGCUCAACCCCGGAACUGCAUUGGAUACUGCCUUGCUCGAGUACUGGAGAGGGAACUGGAAUUAACGGUGUAGCAGUGAAAUGCGUAGAGAUCGAUAAGGAAGGCCAGUGGCGAAGGCGAGUUCCUGGACAAGUUACUGACGCUGAGGCACGAAGGCCAGGGGAGCGAAACGGG